GACGAACGCUGGCGGCGUGCUUAACACAUGCAAGUCGAACGGAAAGGCCCUGCUUUUGUGGGGUGCUCGAGUGGCGAACGGGUGAGUAACACGUGAGUAACCUGCCCUUGACUUUGGGAUAACUUCAGGAAACUGGGUCUAAUACCGGAUAGGAGCUCCUGCUGCAUGGUGGGGGUCGGAAAGUUUCGGCGGUUGGGGAUGGACUCGCGGCCUAUCAGCUUGUUGGUGGGGUAGUGGCUUACCAAGGCUUUGACGGGUAGCCGGCCUGAGGGGGUGACCGGCCACAUUGGGACUGGGAUACGGCCAGGACUCCUCCGGGAGGCAGCAGUGGGGAAUAUUGCACAAUGGGGGGAAGCCUGAUGCAGCACCGCCGCGUGCGGGAUGACGGCCUUCGGGUUGUAAACCGCUUUCGCCUGUGACGAAGUGUGAGUGACGGUAAUGGGUAAAGAAGCACCGGCUAACUACGUG
Molecule: ribosomal RNA, 468 nt
Filed under: uncultured bacterium
Lineage: Bacteria
Description: partial 16S ribosomal RNA
Rfam family: Bacterial small subunit ribosomal RNA
Source: RNAcentral